This 71-nucleotide transfer RNA is filed under the name Candidatus Woesearchaeota archaeon. Its description in RNAcentral is "tRNA-His". It matches the Rfam family "tRNA". Rfam says of the family: Transfer RNA (tRNA) molecules are approximately 80 nucleotides in length. Lineage: Archaea; Nanobdellati; Candidatus Woesearchaeota. The record is from RNAcentral.
GCGGCAAUAGUUCAUCGGUAGAAUACGGGACUGUGGAUCCUGUGAGGUGGGUUCGACUCCCACUUGCCGCC